UGAGGAAUAUUGGUCAAUGGGCGCAGGCCUGAACCAGCCAAGUAGCGUGAAGGAUGACUGCCCUAUGGGUUGUAAACUUCUUUUAUAUGGGAAUAAAGUUUUCCACGUUUGGAAUUUUGUAUGUACCAUAUGAAUAAGGAUCGGCUAACUCCGUGCCAGCAGCCGCGGUAAUACGGAGGAUCCGAGCGUUAUCCGGAUUUAUUGGGUUUAAAGGGAGCGUAGGUGGACAGUUAAGUCAGUUGUGAAAGUUUGCGGCUCAACCGUAAAAUUGCAGUUGAUACUGGCUGUCUUGAGUACAGUAGAGGUGGGCGGAAUUCGUGGUGUAGCGGUGAAAUGCUUAGAUAUCACGAAGAACUCCGAUUGCGAAGGCAGCUCACUGGACUGCAACUGACACUGAUGCUCGAAAGUGUGGGUAUCAAACAGG
Molecule: ribosomal RNA, 424 nt
Filed under: Acidobacteriota bacterium
Lineage: Bacteria; Pseudomonadati; Acidobacteriota
Description: Acidobacteria bacterium partial 16S ribosomal RNA
Rfam family: Bacterial small subunit ribosomal RNA
Source: RNAcentral